RNAcentral lists this ribosomal RNA (484 nucleotides) under uncultured bacterium. RNAcentral's name for it is "partial 16S ribosomal RNA". It matches the Rfam family "Bacterial small subunit ribosomal RNA", at positions 30 to 507 of the family's 1533-position model. The record is from RNAcentral.
AUUGAACGCUGGCGGCAGGCCUAACACAUGCAAGUCGAGCGGAUGAAGGGAGCUUGCUCCUGGAUUCAGCGGCGGACGGGUGAGUAAUGCCUAGGAAUCUGCCUGGUAGUGGGGGAUAACGUCCGUAAACGGGCGCUAAUACCGCAUACGUCCUGAGGGAGAAAGUGGGGGAUCUUCGGACCUCACGCUAUCAGAUGAGCCUAGGUCGGAUUAGCUAGUUGGUGGGGUAAAGGCCUACCAAGGCGACUAUCCGUAACUGGUCUGAGAGGAUGAUCAGUCACACUGGAACUGAGACACGGUCCAGACUCCUACGGGAGGCAGCAGUGGGGAAUAUCGGACAAUGGGCGAAAGCCUGAUACAGCAAUGCCGCGUGUGUGAAGAAGGUCUUCGGAUUGUAAAGCACUUUAAGUUGGGAGGAAGGGCAGUAAGUUAAUACCUUGCUGUUUUGACGUUACCAACAGAAUAAGCACCGGCUAACUUCGUG